GUUGUCCGGAAUUACUGGGCGUAAAGAGUGUGUAGGCGGUGCUCUAAGUUCGGUGUGAAAUCUCCCGGCUCAACUGGGAGGGUGCGCCGAAAACUGGGGUGCUGGAGCGCGGGAGAGGAAAGCGGAAUUCCUGGUGUAGCGGUGAAAUGCGUAGAUAUCAGGAGGAACACCGGCGGUGUAGACGGCUUUCUGGACCGUAGCUGACGCUGAGACACGAAAGCGUGGGUAGCAAACAGG
This 237-nucleotide ribosomal RNA is filed under the name uncultured bacterium. Its description in RNAcentral is "partial 16S ribosomal RNA". It matches the Rfam family "Bacterial small subunit ribosomal RNA", at positions 540 to 776 of the family's 1533-position model. The record is from RNAcentral.